Molecule: small nuclear RNA, 107 nt
Filed under: Salvator merianae (Argentine black and white tegu)
Lineage: Eukaryota; Metazoa; Chordata; Lepidosauria; Squamata; Teiidae
Source: RNAcentral
GUGCUUGCUUCUGCAGCACAUAUACUAAAACCAGAACAAUAUAGAGAAGCUUAGUAUGGUCCCUGUGCAAGGAUGACAUGCAAAUUCAUGAAGCGGUCCAUAUUUAA